GGAGCUGCCCUUCGCCGCAGGCCGCCGCCGUGCCACUCGCCGUUGUUCCUCUUCUGCUUCACGUGAGACUACUGGUGCACGGGCGGGAGGAUUUCCCUAGCCCUGCCCCGUCCUCUCAUCUCUCGAUCUGAUUGAAGCCACGGCCCGGGAAUGGCAGCUGAGUCGUCGGCGGUGGCCGACAUGCGGAAGGCGCCCUCCAUUGAGUGGCGGUGGGUGUCCGCGAGGAGGAGGAGGAGGACAAGCUGGAGGGCCCGCGGCCGUCGGGGCGGCGGGAAGGGGCUGCAGCUUCGAGUUCGAGGACGAGGAGGACAACGUCGACUACGAGGACGAGGACGAGGAGCACCAGAAGGCCAGGAAACUCCUGUCACACACGGCCACCGCCAAACUGCCUCGCGGCCACCCCCGUCCGCUGGUGGCGAUCUUUGUGCCUCCAACCGAUAGCGAUGACCAUGCCUUUUUCAUGGAGCAGACGAUAUUGGAUCUGAGUUCGUGAAGGAGGAGCAAAUGGAUAUUUGGAUUUGUGUUGCUCCUUAUUAAUAUAUGUACAAACGUGUUUUCUUCAGGUUAUUACGGUUAACAGUGAUGAUCUAAUCUUAGAAGAUUUAAGUUCAUGAAGGAUAAUAAAAUUGGCGGCGUACCUGUAGCAGAAGGUCCUAAAAGGAAACUUUUGGUAGUGUGAGCAUAGGGAUAUUUGUUACGUCUUGAAGUUCAUGAAGGCUUACUCUUACUGAUUCAGGGGGCACCUACAUUAUUCGGUAUUUUGGUACAACUUAAGUAUAGGAUGUGCACCUUCCAUUUGUCUAUGCAUAAUUUUUCUGCUCAUGCAUGGUGCAUACUUUUGACUUACAUAUGAUGUAUUCAGCGAUGUCAUUGGUGACUCGUGUGAAGUUGCUGUUUUUUAUUCAGGUGCAAUGACACCGUGGCAGCCAUGGAGAAUAUAUGCAUGAAGCCGUGAGCAGUAAGCAGCUUAGCUAUUUAUUAUUGUUGGCCUUUUAAGUUUGAUAGUAUUGCUGGAUUACCUGCAUAUUAGAUGAUGAAUAGCUUGAGAAAAGCAAACCUUAUCAGUUCUAAAAUGUGUUGUUUUUUAGCAUAACUAAUCGUCGUGUGCUUAUACCAAUUAUACACUGCUAGAUAGACAUGCAUAAGUAUGCAGGUUGACGCAUAAGUCAUUUUACAGUAUGAUGAUGGUGACAAUCAACUAAGCUUCAACAACUUAUAACUGCAUGGCGAGUGGUCGAAUGCAUGCCUCCCCACACCUCGGUCGAUCCUUUUUUUCUGGGAGAGGCGUUUUAGCUCCCAGAGGGUGUUUCAGCGGUGUGCUCGAGGACGAGCAUUGACAGCGCGGGUGUCCGAUUUCCAGCAGCGCAGACAUGGCGAUGGAUUUCUCCAUCUCUCCGGUAGACAGGUUGCCCAUCUUCCUGGAUGAGGCGGCUAGCGUGGUGGCCCUAAUGGAUUUGAUUGGUGGCGAAGAGGAAUCCGCCAAUGGAUCUUGUGGGGCUGUUGUCGCCGGAUUUGCGCACGACUCAUCUGGGCAGUUCGUACGUGGUGUUGUGUGCAGCAAGGAGAGGACUGUAGCUACCGGUGGUGCCGCCAUGUCCGGUUUCAGUGAGAGCGAGGGUGACAAAGCAGAUGCAAUUGACCAAGCCGACGACCGAAGCACAUAUUGAUGAACACCAAGAGGCUGUGAUUUAAGAUCGAACUGAAAGUGGUGAUGGAGGGUCUGCUCAAUCUACUACUUGCAAGGUGGAUCCGCAAGCCCCUGGGUGGACUUAGAGGACACCCUGUCCCAGCGGGCUCGACACACUCUCCGCUUCGCUGAAAUUACAGGACACCCUGUCCCAGCAGGCUCAACAUUCUCUGCUCCGCUCAAAUUACAGGACCGGACACUAUGUCUGGGAAGAAUUUGUGCACUGGAGCAAAUGAUUUAGGGGUAUACAGAUUAGUUGGGUGAGCACGGUGCUAUUGGGCUAACACUAGACCCUAUGUAAGAAACAUAUGGUUUUUACAAUCUUUAUUCAUGGAAGCAUGGUUUCACCAUUA
This is a long non-coding RNA of Triticum aestivum (bread wheat), 2040 nucleotides long. RefSeq lists it as uncharacterized. Lineage: Eukaryota; Viridiplantae; Streptophyta; Magnoliopsida; Poales; Poaceae. The record is from RefSeq and is a predicted model, not a curated record. The transcript has 5 exons.